This 1865-nucleotide long non-coding RNA is filed under the name Salmo salar (Atlantic salmon). RNAcentral describes it as "lncRNA (ENSSSAG00000095447.1)". The record is from RNAcentral. Lineage: Eukaryota; Metazoa; Chordata; Actinopteri; Salmoniformes; Salmonidae.
AGCAGGUGAAACAGUGCCCCUCUUGUCUCUGCAUGUGUAGGCCAUCUAUCUGAUGCUGUCUGGUCAUAAGGAGUACGAUAUUGUUGCCACCGGUGCAUUGAAUGCAAGGGAAGCAAAAGAGCAUUUGACCUCCCUUGAUAAAAUAAAAAAUAUAAAAUAAUAGUUUAGCUCAAGUGUGAAUAGUCCUGGCGCAGCAAACACAUCGCAUUAAGACAAAUACGUCAUUGACAGAAACAACUUGAGUUGUUGCAUUUGGUGUUGUCCUCCGGUGGCUAGCUAGCUACAAUUGUCCAUUUCCUAAAUUAGCCAUGGAUUGAGAUAGGGAUGAUUAUAAAGGCGAUUCUGAUCCAACCAUAAAUUCAUACAUUGUUCACCUGGACUGAGAGAACAGAAUUUCAAUAUGUAGCUAGAUGUAGAAGGCUGAUGUUAACUAGCUAACGUUGCCCAUGAAAGUAAGUUAGGCAAGCAAGCAUUUUAGCCAGGUUGCCUAAAACAACAACACAAAUAAAUGUGUACUGUAUGACAGAGGAAUAGACUGUUUCGUCAACAUGAAAGAGGAUGGGAGGUAGGUUAAGAGGCAGGGACCUCAUUUAUAAAAUUGUUCUUAGAUUUAUACUUAGUCAUAAGAUCAUUUCUGACGUGUGCUUACAUUCGAUUCAUAAAAAAUACUGAGCAUAAAAAAACCUUGCUUAUGCAGAUUCUAAGAAGCCCAUUUGUAAUUUACACACCUGUGAUCUAUAAAUCUCAGAUUAUUUUAAAAUGUACGGCACCUGAACGCGCCUUACAAUCAGCAAUGUCCCCUUAUAGAAUGCUAGCACAAAUGAGGGUUUAGUCAGGAAUAGCCAUGAACCAAAAGAGAAAAGCUAAAUGUUUGGGAAGACGAGAUCACGGCGAUGGUAGAGGAGAUUGAAGACAGGCAACACACAUUACUCGGUGGACUAAAUAGUGGGUAGACAAACAAAGCUAAACAGGUAGCUUGGGAGUGUGUCGCGGCUGCAGUGAACGACGUGGGCAGCAAGACAGAACUGUAGCUGAUGGGAAAAAUAAAUGGUCUGACAAACUGCAAGGGGGGGGAAAUAGCCAUAUAUAACCGCAGCAUUAAGGCAAUGGGAGGGGGGUCUGGCACGCCGGAGCUCUCCAAAAUGGACCGGCGCAAGCAUUGGGGAAAGCGCAUACACUGGCACAUGCUCCAACGGCUACAGUGAAUGUUUCAAAAAAGGUGUUUCUUCUAUUUUUCAUAUGGUUUAAUCCCAACUUUAACAUCGUUUAGCAGUAACAUUCGAAACGGUGAAGUCGGCGCGAAACCCCCACGACUGGAUCACGGUAAGUAAUUAAGGGAACAUUCCAGGCAUUCCCGUGAUUGACAGAUAGCAGGUUGAUUGGCAUGUCGGACCCGCGAACACUGGGUACUGAAACGGGGGAAGCUGCUUUGCAGCUCAUGCGACGGGUGAGUGUGCCCAAUCCACCAAGGGAAGCUGCGUUGCAGCCCGUGCGCCCUGCACCCAGAGAUAAAGUGCAUGAGGGUCCCAAAUCAGCAGGUGCCAGAAGUAAGGGGGGAGUUUGGCACAGGUGUCGAGGGUCCGUCUGCGUCCAUGCGCCAGGAUGAAGUCCGUGAGGCGAUUCAUUUACAUAAUGCAACUGAACGUUUUCCACAACGUGAAUAAAAAAACCUAUGCUUUGUAUAUUGUUUGGCAUUCUGUUUCUUACGCCAAUAUCUGUAUGACCUGCCGCCUCCUCAGUCCAUCAGCCGGGGCAGGUGCUCCAUUGGGUGGUGGGUUAGGAGACUCUUGGGGGUCCAUUUUAAUCUCCGCAUCCAUUUCAAUACCAUGCCUCAGGGCUAUGUUGUGCCGCACCCUACAUUUCAG